CCGACCGAGAUCUUUACUUGCCUC
Molecule: non-coding RNA, 24 nt
Filed under: Arabidopsis thaliana (thale cress)
Lineage: Eukaryota; Viridiplantae; Streptophyta; Magnoliopsida; Brassicales; Brassicaceae
Source: RNAcentral